CCCUCUGGCGUUUAGUUAUAGUUUCUAGUCGGACUCAUUUCAGUGACGGACCUGUUAGAGCAAUAGCGCAGAAAUCAGUCACGAGUUUGCUUCAUUACACAGCUUGGUCAAAUAUGUGUCUUCUUACAGACUUAAAUGGAGAAAAGAUUAAGAAAUAAAACUGAGGAAGAAAAAAAAA
Siniperca chuatsi (mandarin fish) is the source of this 178-nucleotide long non-coding RNA. RefSeq lists it as uncharacterized. Lineage: Eukaryota; Metazoa; Chordata; Actinopteri; Centrarchiformes; Sinipercidae. The record is from RefSeq and is a predicted model, not a curated record. The transcript is spliced from 2 exons.